CCUACGGGGGGCUGCAGUGGGGAAUAUUGGACAAUGGGGGGAACCCUGAUCCAGCCAUGCCGCGUGUGUGAAGAAGGCCCUCGGGUUGUAAAGCACUUUCAGUGAGGAAGAACGCCUGGUGGUUAAUACCCAUCAGGAAAGACAUCACUCACAGAAGAAGCACCGGCUAACUCCGUGCCAGCAGCCGCGGUAAUACGGAGGGUGCGAGCGUUAAUCGGAAUUACUGGGCGUAAAGCGCGCGUAGGUGGCUUGAUAAGCCGGUUGUGAAAGCCCCGGGCUCAACCUGGGAACGGCAUCCGGAACUGUCAAGCUAGAGUGCAGGAGAGGAAGGUAGAAUUCCCGGUGUAGCGGUGAAAUGCGUAGAGUUCGGGAGGAAUACCAGUGGCGAAGGCGGCCUUCUGGACUGACACUGACACUGAGGUGCGAAAGCGUGGGUAGCAAACAGGAUUAGAUACCCCUGUAGUC
Molecule: ribosomal RNA, 465 nt
Filed under: Vreelandella stevensii
Lineage: Bacteria; Pseudomonadati; Pseudomonadota; Gammaproteobacteria; Oceanospirillales; Halomonadaceae
Description: partial 16S ribosomal RNA
Rfam family: Bacterial small subunit ribosomal RNA
Source: RNAcentral